This 312-nucleotide small RNA is filed under the name Pan troglodytes (chimpanzee). RNAcentral describes it as "processed transcript". The record is from RNAcentral. Lineage: Eukaryota; Metazoa; Chordata; Mammalia; Primates; Hominidae.
UACAACCGCAUCAUCAACCAGAUCUCUACCAACGAGAUCCAGAGUGACCAGAACCUGAAGGUGCUGCCACCCCCUCUGCCCACUAUGCCCACUCUCACCAGCCUCCCAUCUUCCACCGACAAGCCGUCGGGACUCUAGGAAUCAUCAUUUCUGGAAGAAGCAGGCCAGAGGCUCCCCUGUCAGAAUGUCAGCACACAUCCAGUCCCCUGAAGCUCAGCCCCUUGUUCAUCCAGAACACCUGAGCCUUCCCAGUGGGCUGCCAUAUGAGAACUAUAUUCAUCUCUGCAUAAACGAACCAUGUAUCUACUCCAA